This 493-nucleotide ribosomal RNA is filed under the name uncultured bacterium. RNAcentral describes it as "SSU rRNA". It matches the Rfam family "Bacterial small subunit ribosomal RNA", at positions 26 to 524 of the family's 1533-position model. The record is from RNAcentral.
AGAGCGAACGCUGGCGGCGUGCUUAACACAUGCAAGUCGAGUGCGCGCCUGUAGCAAUACAGGUGGCGCACGGCGCACGGGUGCGUAACACGUGGGCAAUCUGCCCUUCGAUGGGGAAUAACCCCGGGAAACCGGGGCUAAUUCCGCAUAAUAUUCCGAUGACUAACGUCAAUGGAUUCAAAGCCGUAAGGCGUCGAAGGAGGAGCCCGCGCACGAUUAGCUAGUUGGUGAGGUAACGGCUCACCAAGGCUAUGAUCGUUAGCUGGUCUGAGAGGAUGGCCAGCCACACUGGAACUGAGACACGGUCCAGACUCCUACGGGAGGCAGCAGUGGGGAAUCUUGCACAAUGGGCGAAAGCCUGAUGCAGCGACGCCGCGUGGGGGAUGAAGCUUUUCGGAGUGUAAACCCCUUUCGACCCGGACGAAUGCCCCGCAAGGGACUGACGGUACGGUAUAAGAAGCCCGGCUAACUACGCGCCAGCAGCCGCGGUAAU